RNAcentral lists this small nuclear RNA (113 nucleotides) under Moschus moschiferus (Siberian musk deer). Its description in RNAcentral is "U4 spliceosomal RNA (ENSMMSG00000003574.1)". It matches the Rfam family "U4 spliceosomal RNA". From Rfam's summary of the family: U4 small nuclear RNA (U4 snRNA) is a component of the major U2-dependent spliceosome. The structure of U4 snRNA from yeast and human has been reported. The record is from RNAcentral. Lineage: Eukaryota; Metazoa; Chordata; Mammalia; Artiodactyla; Moschidae.
AGCUUUGUGCAGUGGCAGUAUCAUAGCCAGUGAGAUUUAUCCAAGGCUUGAUUAUUGCUAAAUGGAAAAAUAAGAAAACUGAGUCCCAGUGAGAGUUGUUUUCUGUUAACAGG